GGGGAUGUACUGGUUUCGACGGGGUUUUCAAAGCCGGAGAAGCGAGCCGCAUGAAAUGCGUUAAAUUUCAAACCUAAAUAUAAACGCUAAAAAAGAUACAAAAUUAGCAUUAGCUGCAGCUUAAUUGCAGCUUGUCUGACCUGAGGCACCUGCACCUCAGUGCUCGGGCAUCGACUAUGCAGGAAACGACUUAUGCAAAGCUUUGCGUAUAAGGGCGUAAUAUGAAGCUACUGAAACCAAAAACCCGUUUCCGGGUGUUUGGCGGAGGGAAUGUAAAAACGGGAACUACGCUCGUAGAAGGACGGUGGACAGAAUUUCGGACAGGGGUUCGAUUCCCCUCAUCUCCACCA
RNAcentral lists this transfer-messenger RNA (350 nucleotides) under Lachnospiraceae. RNAcentral describes it as "Eubacterium_I avistercoris Standard tmRNA". It matches the Rfam family "transfer-messenger RNA". From Rfam's summary of the family: Bacterial tmRNA, also known as 10Sa RNA or SsrA, is named for its dual tRNA and mRNA-like properties. Its role is to liberate the mRNA from a stalled ribosome. RNAcentral also lists the same sequence under 1 other name. The record is from RNAcentral. Lineage: Bacteria; Bacillati; Bacillota; Clostridia; Lachnospirales.